Scatophagus argus is the source of this 807-nucleotide long non-coding RNA. RefSeq lists it as uncharacterized. The record is from RefSeq and is a predicted model, not a curated record. The transcript has 5 exons. Lineage: Eukaryota; Metazoa; Chordata; Actinopteri; Scatophagidae.
GAAGACAAAUUCAGUGUGUGUGUGUGUAAAAAUAUAUUUUAUAUAUUUUAUACUGUCAAUAAAGCUGAUUCUUCUUCUUCUCCGGCAAGGUUUUGUCAUGGAGGGAGGGUUACUGUAAGACGCAGUGCCUGGCAGGCUCCUCUGUUACCACCCUGCAGAGAGUUUCCAUCACACCUGUGGAGCUCAAUGAGUUUCCUGAUCUGUCCUUUGUACCACCCUGCUACCUGGACCUCAAGCAGACUUUUUCCCAGGUACCUCGCCUCCUCGUGGGCGUACUCUCUGUCGGGACCUGAACGUCUGGCCAUGGAGGACUACAUUGGAGCUUCCCUCAGGGCUGGGAUCAUCAGGUCUUCUUCCUCACCUGCUAGAGCUUCUUUGUGGGGAAGAAGGACAAGACUCUUCGAACCUGCAUCGACUAUCGGGGCCUUAACAAGAUCAUGCUUUUCUUGCAUGAAGCUAUGGCGCGCAUUGAAAUUCCACAUGUUGGCACGUCUCCAUUCAAGCGGCACUCAGACAUUGUUCAGGUGGAGGUGAAUAUGGCUUUUCCCAGGAUGAGGAUGCUCAUGAAGAAGACCAUGAUGAAGAAGAGCCACAUGAAGAAGCGAUCCAUGACCUUGGCGACCUUCCUCCACUCCCCGAUGCGCAGCUGGGCGGCUCGCUGCUCCUGGCUCUGUUUGACUCCACUUUAUGUCCUCCAGCAGCUCCUUCCUCCUCGGAGUGGUUGAUGGUCACGAACAGAUCCUCCGUCCAGUCCGAAUCGCGGCCCAGCUUCAGAGACUCCCCAUCCUCCUCCGCUCUCCCUCCCCA